GAUGAACGCUGGCGGCGUGCUUAACACAUGCAAGUCGAACGGAAAGGCCCAAGCUUUCUUGGGUACUCGAGUGGCGAACGGGUGAGUAACACGUGGGUGACCUGCCCUUCACUUCGGGAUAAGCCUGGGAAACUGGGUCUAAUACCGGAUAGGACCACAUUUUGGAUGGUGUGGUGGAGAAAUUUUCGGUGUGGGGUGAGCUCGUGGCCUAUCAGCUUGUUGGUGGGGUUAUGGUCUACCAAGGCGUCGGCGGGUAGCCGGCCUGAGGGGGUGUACGGCCACAAUGGGACUGGGAUACGGCCCCGGCCCCGACGGGGAGGAGCAGGGGGGAAGAUUGCUCAAGGGGCGCGAGGCUGAUGCAGCGACGGCGCGGGGGGGAUGACGGCCUUCGGGUUGGAAACGCAUUUCGCUAGGGACGAAGCGGUAUGUGACGGUACCUGGAGAAGAAGCACCGGCUAACUACGUG
RNAcentral lists this ribosomal RNA (466 nucleotides) under uncultured bacterium. RNAcentral's name for it is "partial 16S ribosomal RNA". It matches the Rfam family "Bacterial small subunit ribosomal RNA", at positions 28 to 507 of the family's 1533-position model. The record is from RNAcentral.